Molecule: long non-coding RNA, 1244 nt
Organism: Ostrea edulis (European flat oyster)
Lineage: Eukaryota; Metazoa; Mollusca; Bivalvia; Ostreida; Ostreidae
Exons: 2
Source: RefSeq, a predicted model, not a curated record
UCAAGGACACAAUGUAUGGGCAGACGAAUACGUAUUAUAUUUUUACAGAAUUUUCUUAUAUACAUGUAUCAGCGCCCCUGUUGUUGCCCCAACCUACCCGGUGGACCAUGAUUUGAACAACCUUGAAUCUAUUCGAUGUCAGGUAGCUUUCAUCUAAAAUUCUACUUUUCUAGUCCAACUAAUUAAAAGAAAGUUUUAUAAAUGAAAUACAAGUGAGAGAGUUUAGGUAUCCCACUCUUGAGUAUAUUCGUGUAAAGUUAUAGUGCAAACUAACACUCAGGGGAAAACUAAGAAGAGUUUUGUCUUGCUUUUACACUAAACGCAUAAAAACUAGUGUUAUCUAAAUUUAAAGGGACUUUCAUACAAUGACAGACGAUUAAUGAAAUACAUGUAGUAAACAGAGAAUAACUUUCAGAUUUUCAACAAAGUCGUAAAUACCCUUCUGGGUCCUUCAUUAUCCUAAAUUCUCCUAAAGUAGUACUAAAUGACCGGGGAUAAAGUAGAUUUUCUGGAGGUGGGACCUACUGAAGUGGGGGGGGGGUUGGGGUUACUCCGUAACACCAUGGCUUCACCCCCCCCCCCCCCACCCCCACCCCCGACUUAGCCAUGGACACACUGCAGGCAUAACGGCGGACUCUUCAGACCCAUUGCCUCUGAGGAUUUGUCCGCGUCCCCUCCCGUCCCCCGCCUCUCUUAAGCUGAAACCUUACAUCACUCCCGCUUACGCGCCAUAAUCACUGUCAUGAUCGUGUGCAGGAUUGGACAAAACAAGAUGACAGACGGCAUUUCCAAACAAAGAUCCAGUCAGUAGCGGACUUCCUUAAGCUUAAAAGUUGCAAGUGAAUGAAGUGUGUUCUAUUUUAUGUCUCCUAAUAAAACCAUGGUUUUGACAAACCUAAAAGAGCACGUGGAGCAAGGAACUAUCAGUAAGCCGGAAGAGCCAGCUCGAAAAUCUUUACGUGUUUGAGAAUUGCACCGCGCACAUGAAUCUGAAGUUCUGUCACACGUUAGAAGGAGCCUUGUUGUCGAAGAUCAACAUGUUGAAAAGUCUUCAUUUUGCAGAAGCAAAUACAUUUAUAUUGUAUAUACACAUGUAGACCAUGUUCGAUUCCCAACCACUUAACAUUUGUGAUAUCUGCAUGGAAUUAUGAAAACUGAGCAUGGUUUGACGUUUAAUAAUCUCUUCAGGCAUGAUGGUUUACAUUUCACAAAGCUGUUCAAUGACAAUAAAGACAAUAAGAUGU